Long non-coding RNA from Mustela erminea (ermine), 295 nucleotides. RefSeq lists it as uncharacterized. The transcript is spliced from 3 exons. The record is from RefSeq and is a predicted model, not a curated record. Lineage: Eukaryota; Metazoa; Chordata; Mammalia; Carnivora; Mustelidae.
CCUGGUUCCUCCCAUUGACCAAACUCACCUGAAAACCAGCUGUUAGAGGAAGCUGGGUGAUCUUAGGCAUCAGCCUUCGGAGAUACAAAUAUGGUGAAAAAGGACCAAGACAGACCUGGAAUGGGACACAUCAGCACAAUGAAAUAUUAGGACUUAGAAACCAGACUUCUGACCCUUGCUACGUUAUCAAAAUGUCUUCUGUCUCCACAUUUGCUUGCAGGAGGAGAACGAGAAGAGCAAGACAGGAGCCCAGGGUCUGCCAGAAAAAGCUCUUGGCAGAAUCCUCCCGUAUCAG